RNAcentral lists this transfer RNA (70 nucleotides) under Cricetulus griseus (Chinese hamster). It matches the Rfam family "tRNA". Rfam says of the family: Transfer RNA (tRNA) molecules are approximately 80 nucleotides in length. Their secondary structure includes four short double-helical elements and three loops (D, anti-codon, and T loops). Lineage: Eukaryota; Metazoa; Chordata; Mammalia; Rodentia; Cricetidae. The record is from Rfam by way of RNAcentral.
GGAGAUGUAACUCAGUUGACAGAGUGCUUGCUUAGCAUGGAAGAGGCUCUGGGUUCAAUCCCCAGCACCA